This 74-nucleotide transfer RNA is filed under the name Ferula hexiensis. RNAcentral's name for it is "tRNA-fMet". It matches the Rfam family "tRNA". Rfam says of the family: Transfer RNA (tRNA) molecules are approximately 80 nucleotides in length. Their secondary structure includes four short double-helical elements and three loops (D, anti-codon, and T loops). The record is from RNAcentral. Lineage: Eukaryota; Viridiplantae; Streptophyta; Magnoliopsida; Apiales; Apiaceae.
CGCGGGGUAGAGCAGUUUGGUAGCUCGCAAGGCUCAUAACCUUGAGGUCACGGGUUCAAAUCCCAUCUCCGCAA